GAUUCUGGCUCAGGAUGAACGCUGGCGGCGUGCCUAACACAUGCAAGUCGAACGAAGCACUUUCGAUCGGAGAUUCGUCAAAGAUUGGAUUUGACUUAGUGGCGGACGGGUGAGUAAUGUAUGAGCAACCUGCCUUUCAGAGGGGGACAACAGUUGGAAACGACUGCUAAUACCGCAUAAUGUAUUUUAAGGGCAUCCUUGGAAUACCAAAGGAGCAAUCCGCUGAAAGAUGGGCUCAUAUCUGAUUAGUUAGUUGGCAGGGUAACGGCCUACCAAGACUGCGAUCAGUAGCCGGACUGAGAGGUUGAACGGCCACAUUGGGACUGAGAUACGGCCCAGACUCCUACGGGAGGCAGCAGUGGGGAAUAUUGGGCAAUGGGCGAAAGCCUGAACCCCAGCAACGCCGCGUGAAGGAAGAAGGUCUUCGGAUUGUAAACUUCUUUUAUGAGGGACGAAGGACGUGACGGUACCUCAUGAAUAAGCCACGGCUAACUACGUGCCAGCAGCAGC
RNAcentral lists this ribosomal RNA (510 nucleotides) under uncultured bacterium. RNAcentral's name for it is "bacterial SSU rRNA". It matches the Rfam family "Bacterial small subunit ribosomal RNA", at positions 15 to 518 of the family's 1533-position model. The record is from RNAcentral.